RNAcentral lists this ribosomal RNA (630 nucleotides) under uncultured Arcobacter sp. RNAcentral's name for it is "bacterial SSU rRNA". It matches the Rfam family "Bacterial small subunit ribosomal RNA", at positions 222 to 869 of the family's 1533-position model. Lineage: Bacteria; Pseudomonadati; Campylobacterota; Epsilonproteobacteria; Campylobacterales; Arcobacteraceae. The record is from RNAcentral.
AGGAUGGGACUGUACGGUAUCAGAUAGUUGGUGGGGUAAUGGCCUACCAAGUCAAUGACGCCUAACUGGUUUGAGAGGAUGAUCAGUCACACUGGAACUGAGACACGGUCCAGACUCCUACGGGAGGCAGCAGUGGGGAAUAUUGCACAAUGGAGGAAACUCUGAUGCAGCAACGCCGCGUGGAGGAUGACACAUUUCGGUGCGUAAACUCCUUUUAUAUAGGAAGAUAAUGACGGUACUAUAUGAAUAAGCGCCGGCUAACUCCGUGCCAGCAGCCGCGGUAAUACGGAGGGCGCAAGCGUUACUCGGAAUCACUGGGCGUAAAGAGCGUGUAGGCGGAUAGAUAAGUCAGAAGUGAAAUCCUAUGGCUCAACCAUAGAACUGCUUUUGAAACUGUUUAUCUAGAGUGUGGGAGAGGUAGAUGGAAUUUCUGGUGUAGGGGUAAAAUCCGUAGAGAUCAGAAGGAAUACCGAUUGCGAAGGCGAUCUACUGGAACAUAACUGACGCUGAGACGCGAAAGCGUGGGGAGCAAACAGGAUUAGAUACCCUGGUAGUCCACGCCCUAAACGAUGUACACUAGUUGUUGCGAGGCUUGACCUUGCAGUAAUGCAGUUAACACAUUAAGUGUAC